AUUAGACGUAUCCACGAAGAGACAGUCCCAACGCCCGAUAUUAGAGCUAAAGUUAUUAUUUCAAAUGUGAAAGUGUUCAGCGGCAAAUAUUACAAUGUGAUUUGGAUAAGAUCAAAAGCAAUGCAUAUUCUUGAUGUACAUUCUGACACAUAGAAUAAAGACAAUAAGGAAAGAUAGUGAAAAACAGAAAAUAUUUGAAAGGCUUAAACAGAAUAUCCAUUCAGCCCUUGAGACUAUUUUUUCUUCUUCAAAUGAUCAGGAAGUUUUAUAUUUUACACACGUUUAAGUCAUUAAUGUGCAGUCAAGUACUUGGAUUUAUUCUGAACAUGGAUUGAAUUUGAGCAAGAACCAG
Mytilus californianus (California mussel) is the source of this 352-nucleotide long non-coding RNA. RefSeq lists it as uncharacterized. The transcript is spliced from 3 exons. Lineage: Eukaryota; Metazoa; Mollusca; Bivalvia; Mytilida; Mytilidae. The record is from RefSeq and is a predicted model, not a curated record.